This 449-nucleotide ribosomal RNA is filed under the name uncultured bacterium. RNAcentral's name for it is "bacterial SSU rRNA". It matches the Rfam family "Bacterial small subunit ribosomal RNA", at positions 470 to 916 of the family's 1533-position model. The record is from RNAcentral.
UGACGGUACCUGCAGAAGAAGCGCCGGCUAACUACGUGCCAGCCGCCGCGUUAAUACGUACGGCGCCAGCGUUGUCCGGAAUUAUUGGGCGUAAAUAGCUCAUAAGCGGCUUGUCACGUCGGAUGUGAAAACCCGGGGCUUAACCCCGGGUUUGCUUUCGAUACGGGCAGACUAGAGUGAAGUAGGGGAGAACGGAAUUCCUGGUGUAGCGGUGAAAUGCUCAGAUAUCAGGAGGAACACCGGUGGCGAAGGCGGAUCUCUGGGCCUUAACUGACGCUGAGGAGCGAAAGUGUGGGGAGCGAACAGGAUUAGAUACCCUGGUAGUCCACACCGUACACGUUGGGAACUAGGUGUGGGAAACAUUCCACGUCUUCCGUGCCGCAGCUAACGCAUUAAGUGCCCCGCCUGGGGAGUACGGCCGCAAGGCUAAAACUCAAAGGAAUUGACGG